RNAcentral lists this small RNA (127 nucleotides) under Marmota monax (woodchuck). Lineage: Eukaryota; Metazoa; Chordata; Mammalia; Rodentia; Sciuridae. The record is from RNAcentral.
GCCAGGCACAGUGGUGCAUGCCUGUAAUCCCAGCAGCUUGGGAGGCUGAGGCAGGAGAAUUCUAAGUUUGAGGCCAUCCUCAGCAACUUGUGAGGCUUAAAGCAACUUUAAUGAGGCCCUGUCUCAA